UGAAGAACGGAAAGAAGUUUUCUCAUCAAAAGCAGUGUCGUGUUCUACUGAUACAAAUUCAUAUGAGAUAAGCAAAAGAAGAGAUCAACAAAAAGGAAUUUUUUAAUCUAUGAAUCCACCAUAGAGUUCUUCAUCCACAUCCAAAAACUCAACCAUGAAAGGAAAUAGAAAUAAGAUUCUUCACCCACACAACCCAACCAUAAAAGAAAAUAGCAAUCAACUACAUCUAAACUUUGUUUCCAUGGCUAAAUCCACAGAUCUGGUUAUUCAUCCACACAGUUUCACGUUUUACAUUUUACAGACUCAUAUAUGCUAAACCCAACUUCCCUUUUCCUUUAAAAGUUUUCUUUUAAUUUUUUUAUUAGAUCUACAACGUAUAUAGUACAUCUCACAAACCCAGAACAAAAACACAUGUUUAAAGCUUCUUGUAUCACAAAUCCAGUAUAAAAACACAAAUCUAAAACUUCUUGUAUUACAAACCUAGAAUAGAAAUUGAUUGAAGUGAAACACAUAUCAACAUAUCAAGAUAAAGAUGUUUCAGUAUCUUUAUCUCUCCAUAUUUCUCAAUUUCUCAAUUGAUGUUUCAAUUCAUCUAUUGUAUGACAAUUUCUCAAUUGCUCACUCCAUAUUUCUCAAUUUCCUAGAUUCUUAUUUCUCUCUCGGUAGAUUUCUUCUCCUAUCAGUUUCGGUUAACCUAGCGAUUGAACAUCACCCUACUCAGAGAGAAAAAGGAUGGUUCAUUCGAUUUAGAGAAUCUCAGAAAAGAUUUCAACAAGUACAAUAAGGAUAUCUCCAAAGUCAAGCGUGCUAAAUCAAAUAAAUGCUUUAGGCCAACAAUGUCGUGAUUAUAAUGUGGGGACAGAAAAGAGUAGAACAUAAACUCAAGAAUCACAUGGGUCCCGUUGACCUUCUCGGGAUAAUAGAUUUGAAGAAAGGUUGCAAGUUAUUCAUCUAUUCAAGUCUAUAAUUUUCAGAUCAAGACUGCUGUACUAAGGAUACGAUUUCCCUGCUUGCCAACUCCAAUAUUUCACGGCAUUCCUUUUGUGGAAAAAGAUGCAAAGAGUUGUGUACAUAUAGGAGAUGAUGGGCUAGCAACACUCGCAACCGGAUGCAACAAGUUGACCAUGUUCGACCUAUCAUAUUACAAUAGAAUGACAGACACAGGGUUGAAUAUUGAUGCUAUUUGUAUACUUUCAUGUCUUCAAAACUCUGCAAGGAUAUUGGAAGCAACUUUCUGUAAUUUUUAAGGACAAGUAUUUGGCAAACUCUGCAUAUUGGAAGUAGAAUCAUGCACUAGUUGAGGAAGAGAAUUUUACACAAAUUUGAUAGAAAAUGAAAAAAUUACAAGACAAUCAUAAUUAGAUGCCAAUUCAAAUGGUUUUGGAAGAAGAUAGCAUCCUUAAGAAAGCAGUUGAAAGAUAGUACAAUAAAGUAGCAGCUUAAGUCUUGCUCUGAUAUUAUGCCUAAGAUU
Molecule: long non-coding RNA, 1471 nt
Organism: Vicia villosa (hairy vetch)
Lineage: Eukaryota; Viridiplantae; Streptophyta; Magnoliopsida; Fabales; Fabaceae
Exons: 5
Source: RefSeq, a predicted model, not a curated record